This 382-nucleotide ribosomal RNA is filed under the name uncultured bacterium. RNAcentral describes it as "bacterial SSU rRNA". It matches the Rfam family "Bacterial small subunit ribosomal RNA", at positions 30 to 416 of the family's 1533-position model. The record is from RNAcentral.
AUUGAACGCUGGCGGCAUGCUUUACACAUGCAAGUCGAACGGGCUGGGGGCAACUCCAGUCAGUGGCGAACGGGUGAGUAAUACAUCGGAACGUACCUCGUAGUGGGGGAUAACUCGGCGAAAGCCGUGCUAAUACCGCAUAUGCUCUACGGAGGAAAGCAGGGGACCGUAACAGGCCUUGUGCUAUGGGAGCGGCCGAUGUCCGAUUAGCUAGUUGGUGAGGUAANGGCUCACCAAGGCGACGAUCGGUAGCUGGUCUGAGAGGAUGAUCAGCCACACUGGGACUGAGACACGGCCCAGACUCCUACGGGAGGCAGCAGUGGGGAAUCUUGGACAAUGGAGGAAACUCUGAUCCAGCCAUGCCGCGUGAGUGAUGAAGGCC